Long non-coding RNA from Cervus elaphus (red deer), 869 nucleotides. RefSeq lists it as uncharacterized. The record is from RefSeq and is a predicted model, not a curated record. The transcript is spliced from 3 exons. Lineage: Eukaryota; Metazoa; Chordata; Mammalia; Artiodactyla; Cervidae.
UCGGCUUUUACUUUUGAUUUCUAAGAUACCCUGUUCUGGGUUGUGCUUUUCGAUGUAUCUGAAAAGAUAACCAGGUUCUUCGAUGACAGAGCAAUGAUGUCCCUGGCCUCCCUCUUUUCAGAAUUGCUCCAAAACAGCAAAGAGAAUGAGAAACAAAAGCACAGGCCCUGUAUUCCUCAAGGGCAGGAGACAUCUGUAAUCUGGAACCACAAUAUAUGGAGAUGAGAAACAGAUGGAGGAAUGAACACAGGGAUGUCCCGGGCGUUGGCCCACGAAGGCAGUGGCUGGGAGUGAGCGUGGCCCUGAAGGCCGUCCCUGCAGCAGAAACGUAAUAACACUGGUUACCGUCACGGUGUGCUUGCUGGUGCCCGGCUCCUCACAUUCUCUCUUGCAGUCCUCAGGAGAGCAAAAGCUGCAACAGUCUUUACCUACAAGCAAAGGCUAUUCAGAAAAGUGUGGAAUUCUUGUUGGCACUGAACACAUCGGAGUCAUGGGUUCCUUGCCUCCUACACUGACAUAUCCAGCGAUCAGGACCAGUUCAAACUAACUUCUGCCCGUGCUACUGACAGGUAAAUUGAAUUGGCGGCUAUCCCUUCAUUCAAUAAAUAUUCACGAGCAUGCACCAUAUAGUUCAGCACAGUCCUAAGUGGCAGAGUACUGGACGUUGAAUGGGGCGGUGAAUAGACAGGGUGUCUGCUCCGUGGACUCUGGUUCUGGUAUCUGCGCAGAUGUUCACUUCCUUUAUUGGCUGAUGCUGCUUCCAAGCCCAGGGAUCAGGAAACUACGACCUGGAGGUCAAAUGCAGCCCACCACGUGUUUUUGUACAGCCCUUGAGUUAAGCUGGUUUUUGUUUUUGUUUUCAUUUUUUA